GCGUGUACCCGGGGUAGGUGAAAUUCCUAGCCGGCGGUGAAAGUCCGCGACCCGGCCCGCUUCGACAGGGGUCGGUUGACUCGGUGAGAUUCCGAGACCGACGGUUAAAGUCCGGAUGGGAGGUUGCACGC
Molecule: non-coding RNA, 131 nt
Filed under: Dermacoccus nishinomiyaensis
Lineage: Bacteria; Bacillati; Actinomycetota; Actinomycetes; Micrococcales; Dermacoccaceae
Description: FMN sequence
Rfam family: FMN riboswitch aptamer (RFN element)
About the family: The RFN element is a highly conserved domain that is found frequently in the 5'-untranslated regions of prokaryotic mRNAs that encode for flavin mononucleotide (FMN) biosynthesis and transport proteins. This element is a metabolite-dependent riboswitch that directly binds FMN in the absence of proteins.
Source: Rfam by way of RNAcentral